AGAACGAACGCUGGCGGCAUGCCUAAUACAUGCAAGUCGAACGAACUCUUCGGAGUUAGUGGCGCACGGGUGCGUAACGCGUGGGAAUCUGCCCCUUGGUUCGGAAUAACAGUUGGAAACGACUGCUAAUACCGGAUGAUGACGAAAGUCCAAAGAUUUAUCGCCAAGGGAUGAGCCCGCGUAGGAUUAGCUAGUUGGUGAGGUAAAGGCUCACCAAGGCAACGAUCCUUAGCUGGUCUGAGAGGAUGAUCAGCCACACUGGGACUGAGACACGGCCCAGACUCCUACGGGAGGCAGCAGUAGGGAAUAUUGGACAAUGGGCGUAAAGCCUGAUCCAGCAAUGCCGCGUGAGUGAUGAAGGCCUUAGGUUGUAAAGCUACUUUUACCCGAGAUGAUAAUGACAGUAUCGGAGAAAUAAGCCCCGGUACUAACCUCCGUAGCCAGCGACGCCGACGGUAAUCGUAGGAGGACGGCGUCGGACGAACGGCGACGAAUAGGA
RNAcentral lists this ribosomal RNA (499 nucleotides) under uncultured soil bacterium. Its description in RNAcentral is "bacterial SSU rRNA". It matches the Rfam family "Bacterial small subunit ribosomal RNA", at positions 30 to 543 of the family's 1533-position model. The record is from RNAcentral.